CCUGCUUCCGCCGCCAAGCUUAUCCUCGCCGGCGCAGUAGCACGAUGCCCCCGUCAACCUCAUCCACCAUGCCACCUUGCCCAGUCCUCAUCCUCGACGCAACGUAGCGUCCCUGCAUCCUUGCUUCCUAGCUAUAUAUAGCCGCCUCGCCCCUCGCUGGAGCCUCGCACCACCGAGGCAGGCCACGUCUUAUCCCCUAGCUAUUGCGCCUCCGCCCCUCUCCUCCUCCCCUCUCCAACCCCCGGCAUGGGUCGCGUGCCUCCUCCUCGUGCUCCCUACGCCUCCCUCUUGGCCAAACAAGGCCCGAAGCACUCUUUCGCACUCUUCCCCCCCAAGCUCCAGCCCCCCUUACCUUUCUCCCAUGGCGGCUAAGCUAGAGGAGGAAGACGACCGGAGCGCCGUUUGCCCCGGUGUCCCUCUGUCUACACCCUGUCUCACAUACUGCUUGCAAGCUCCACCCUGGGGAGACGGCGUCAAGCCCCAUCCGUCGCCACCCUGCCUCCUGAUCCGCCUGGGCGCGGUCCACCUGGACCAUAGACCCAGCGCCCCAAUCCACAAAGCCCACGGGGGCCGCGCAUGGCACAGUGUGCCAAGCGUCCCACCCCACUACGUCAGCCCCUUCAAAAAUGCUACGCGCACUCAGUAAGUGCACACAAACUUUUACUUAGAGACCUUCCUCUAUUCCAAAAAUUAUCCAAAAAUACUAAAAAAUAUUCUAAGACCAUCCAUGUUUUCCUUUUCCAAAGUUCAUCCCAUAUAGCCCCUUUUCCAAAUUACCAUCCUCCCAUAUAAUAGAAAAGCCCUAUUAUGUGUACACCAAAUAUCGCUAAGGUCUUAUAGCCCCAACUUUUUAGAAAAAUGCCGCACCACCUCCACCCGCCGCCAUGUACUAACCCCUAGGUGUCGGGCCGGGUCAAAGUCAAGUGCGUCGUGCAACCUUUAGCCACUAUUACCCAUGACUGUAACAACACUCAGCUAUUGCCUCACUAUCCUAUUAUUGCUGCUAACCCCAAUCGUUGCCACACAUCUGCCUGAUCUUGUAUCGGCCCCACCUGUCACCUUGUGUUCUACCCCCUAGCACUAGGGCAGGUUGAAGUGGUGUCUAUCGUACAAGCUCUCUGACUUCUAUUCCACUUAGUCUUGCUUGACUGCGUCUGUCGCCUUGUGUGCUAUCCUCUAGUACUAGGACAGACCAACUGCCGCGCAAGUCUCCUUUACCCUGACCCUGACUUGUUUUCACAACUCCUUAGUGACCCCAACCCUUAAGGAUCUAUUCAAAACUCCUAAUCCCUUCCACCACCUAGCCAAUAUGCUACCCGAUCCAAACCUUACAUAUCAACCCAGUCUAGCCGAUAUGUCGCCCAAUUGAAACCCUAAUUAUUGACAAAACCCUAGCCAUUAUGUCGCCCAUCCAAAACCAUAAGAAAUCCAUUCGUAAUUUCUUAGAAAUCUCUUACAAAUCUAGUAACCCCUCCAUUAAUUAUUUAGAAAUAUUUCUAAAUAAUUAAUAAAAUACCCAUAAAUUAUUCGGGAAAUAUCCUUUAGAAAUCCGAUAAUUUACAAAGCCUCCGACAUCCAUUCUUCUUCAUUUUCUUUAGUGUAUAUUGAUUGCUAGAAUUUAUUGUCUAUUUGUAUGUUUGUGUGAACCGAGGAUACGACCAAGAUCCGGCCGGAAGUUAAGGAUCCAAAAGGUUUGAAGCCAAAGGACCGGCCAUCCAGAAGACGAGUAGACGCGUUAGCCUGACCAGGCUCCGACAAGAAGCCAAGGAUUCGGAAGACGAGAAGUCAAGAUCCUGAUCAACCCAGGAGAUGAAUUAAGGAUCCCUAAUGAAGGAAAGUCCUAGCAUCCACUCCUUGAUCAUACUUUUGCCCUAUUUUUCAUUAGAGAUAGAAUUCAUUAGAAUAUUUCAAAUACAAUGUUUUUAUGAAAAACCGUAGAAGGCAUGAGUUUGAUAAAAUGAACCAACUAAAGAGUUAGAAACCCCUAAGGAUAGGACAAGGAAGUAAGGGGGCAGCCUCGUUGGAGGAUCCUGUCCCAAAAGCUUACUUCGGUCGCAUAAGGGCUCACGGGAAAGUCUUUCUAAUGAAAUGUGCAACCAUACGUGUUAAAAAGGUACAACCUUCGGGAGUGCCUAUUUACGUGAGGUCUUGGUUCACACCCUGGUAGUUGAACCUAGAAAUCCAUCCCAAGGGGCCACGGUGGGCAACAAUAUGCUAGAGCAGGACCUUCGCAUAGUCCCAGGUUUGGUCAGCACGGGUUGACUGAGAGGGUCGGAGACCUUGAGGGCAGAGGUCAUGUUUAUUAUGUGCACAUUUUCCCAGGUUGAUAUCCCCAGUAUGUCCGUAGAUGGAACUAGGGAAUGCUUCCUAGCGAUAGGCAUAGGCGGGUAUGGAUCUCGUAGGUCAGUACCGCCUACCGGAAGGUAUGGGUUGACUGGACAUAUGGGUAAAGUGUACAAACUCUGCAGAGUUAUAAAUCUAUCCGGAUGGUUGAGGCUCACGAUCGCGAGCCCACGUAAUCAAAGCUCCCGUCGAUUAGUAAUUACAACUUGGGUGUGGUGAGAUAGGGCCAAGGCUCUAAGAGAGUAAUUUUGAACAAGGUAUAAGCUGGCUAGAAAGACCCUGACGAUCUCUGGUGCUCCUUAAAACUUGGGAACUGGUAGGGGAGAUAAGAUUCCUCCUCCAUGGCCAACAACAUAAUAAGUAUGCCUUCUUUCUCCUCCUUUUUUAGAACUCAUCAUCACCUCACCUUGCAUAAAAUAGGUUUAUUGAUGAAAUCAAACCCCAUUCCCUUGCCUUGAUCAAUCCUACAUUUAAUAUAAUUUCAAUGCUAGAAUUUGCUGGGUUCCAAUCAUAAGUAUACUCAGCCUUACUUUCAUUUAUACAAGCUUAGGGUUCCCGGUGCUAUGGUUCAUUUUGCGGAAUGGGCGACAGCUCCACUCUCUGCUACACAUAGGUGAAACUAUUUUUUAUUAUUUUAUGCGUCCUUUAUUAGUUAUGAUACUAAUCCGUGAUGAGAAAUGUAUUAGCAUACUAAUCCAGGAACUAAUACAGAUAAUCAGCGGGACUUUAAGAGUAAGGCCCCACAAUAUAUCUAAAAUGGAGGGAGUUGUGCAACUAACUAUGGGUUGUAUUGAUUGCCUCAUAAAUGCCCGGCCCGUGCCUUGUUUAACCAGGCCACACGAAAUAUGGAAGUACCGUACUCUGACCUUUGUUAUAAUCCUCGAGUGGAAAUAGGAACAAGAUGGUUGGAAUGAUUACUUGGUAUUACGUUUAGGAUUACUUAAUUACUCUCUUCAUUUAAAAUUUUUAAAUGAACUCUAAAAAACGGAGGAAGUGUGCAACUAACUACGGGUUGUAUAGAUUGCCUCGUAAAUGUCCGUGCCUUGUUUAACCAGGCCGCACGAAUAUGUUGCGGUGUCAGCUCUAGCUCAC
RNAcentral lists this long non-coding RNA (3435 nucleotides) under Setaria italica (foxtail millet). RNAcentral's name for it is "long non-coding RNA (SITA_LNC005496)". The record is from RNAcentral. Lineage: Eukaryota; Viridiplantae; Streptophyta; Magnoliopsida; Poales; Poaceae.